RNAcentral lists this long non-coding RNA (5012 nucleotides) under Papio anubis (olive baboon). RNAcentral describes it as "lncRNA (ENSPANG00000040071.1)". Lineage: Eukaryota; Metazoa; Chordata; Mammalia; Primates; Cercopithecidae. The record is from RNAcentral.
GGCUAAGUGCUUAUAUAAUCCUUUUUUCUAGAUAUGAUUAAUAAAAGUACAAUUAAAAUUAAUUUAAGCAAAAUUGGAAAUUUAUUGACUGAAAAUAUUGUAUCAGGCCUGCCUUAAGGGAAAAGGUAGAAGUCAGCCUUGUCAAUGACUAGAAACUGUGCAUUAGCAAAAAUCAAGUAUCUGUCUCAAUUUCUCACCUCUGUUCCUUUAUACUCAUCAAAUUUUCUCUCCUUACAAUUAAAAAUAUUUUUUAUGACUGAAAACAUAGUUAAUGGCAAUUUCUGGGUUUUAUAACUUAUACCUUCAGCUCACAGGACUGAGGUCUUUCUUCAUGUCAGCUCAUAAAUGCCCAAGAAGGAACUCAGAUUAGCUUAGUCUGGCUCAGAUGCCCACCUUUAGGUUAGGACAAAUCAGUGUGAGUAGAGUUUGUGUUAGGUAUUACAAAAUUAAAGAUUUUUAUUUAAUUAUAUGAAUUUUAAUGGAGAAUAGGGAGUUGAUUAUCAGAAAAGUUUGGGAUAGGUCACACACAGCUAUCCAGAAGAUUAUUUGCUACAGUUUGAAUGUUUAUGUCCUCUCCAAAAUUCAUGUGUGGAAGCAUAUUGGGGGAACAUGUCCCCAAUAUUUCAACAUAGGCCCUUUCUAUUUUCCCUAGGUGUUGACUGGUCUGAGAAAUAAAGAGAAAGAGUACAAACAGAGGAAUUUUACAGCUGGGCCUCUGGGGGUAACAUGACAUAUCGGUUCCUUAGACUGAAGUAAGAAGUGUGGUAUCAUGUGGAUGGAUAAUCCCUGGGAUGGCGGUGCUGAUAAAGUUGAACAUAGUUGGUGAUGAACCCAAAUGCAAUAAGGGCUAGUGUGGUAGUUCUCAGGGAGAACAAGCAUCUACAAGGCACCAAUUUCAGAUGGCAUGAAAAUAAUGAGCUUCAGCCACUCCCUCCGUUCAGGGUCCCUGACUUCCCGCAACACAGAAGCUCUCUAAUACAGAAAAGGAGAAGUCACCAACAGAGAGGAGAAGAGCAUGUGAAGACAGAUGCAGAGAAUGGAAUUAUGCAGCCACAAGCCAAGGAACAUCUGGAUGCACCAGAAGCUAUUAAAAAAAAAAAAAAAAAAAAAAAAAAGAUUCUCAUCAGAGUCUUCACAGACAGUGCAGCCCUGCCAAUACCAACACUUUGGUUUCAUAUGCUUGGCCUCCAAAACUGUGAGAGAAAAAAUUUCUACUUUUGUAACCCACCUAGUUUGUGGCUCUUUGUUACAGCAGCCACAGGAAACUAAAUAUAAGCAUCAUACACUGAUUCUUAAGGGGAAGACUAAUUUCUGGAUCUCUUGAAUGUAGGAUGUAAUAACAAAUGUCAGCAGAUUUUAAAAAUAUAAAUGUAACUCUAUAUACCUGCUGAUUUUUACACCUUGAACAGUGUUGUAAGUUUUGGUUUUUCCUAUGAAUUAAAUUAUAUAUUAUAAAAUAUUUCAUGUUGUAAUGCCUGAAAUUAUAUCAAGAAUCUGCAACAUGGGGUUGAAUUAUUUCUUUUAGCACCAGUAAUGGAAUGAAUCUGCUAAUUUAGAAAUUGGGUAUAAUAACUAUUUUACUCCAUAUCUAGUGUUUUACCUUUUCUACAGUUCAACUAAGAAAUAAAUUGCUUUCUUAGUAGGCAAUGAGAUUUUUGGCUUAUCUAAGAAAAUAUAGCAGUAAAAAGGUCACAGCAAUUUGCUUUAUGGGCCACAUGUUACUGGUAAAAUGAAAUCAUUCUAGCAUAUGGCUUUUAGAGUAGAAACACACAAGCAAACAAAAAUUCUAAAUGUCAGAGCAACUUCAUUUUAGCACACACAUAUUUCCAAAAUGUACAGAGAACAAUAAUAAAAAUAAAGUUCGGAACAUAAAUUCAGUUAAGAACUAUACAUUUCCAAUUGAGAAAAAAUCAAGAGCAGACAGUUUUGCAAGAUUUCUCAAUCAGAUUUUUCAUUAUAGGAAAGCUGUUCCUUUAUAUUUUAAUACAUGUAGAUAAAAUCUUUUCACCAUAGUCACAGGAAGUUUCAAUGUAUUUACUAGUGGUAUAUUCAGUAACUGUGUUGGAGGAUGAAAAAGAAAAUAAGCUGUAGUGCUACCUUUGGCAUGGAUAAAUAAUGCCUUUUUUAUUUUCCAGUAUAUCAUGCUACUUUCUGAUUUUAUACACAUUUGAAUCAAGUUAAUAUUUUGAUUUUUCUUCCUGCCAAUUCAAUAUAUAUUAUAGUCUUUAUCUGAAUAUGGCUGAUUUUUCCCCAAAUUUGUAUAAAUGUGUUUAUAAAACUAAUUUAAGCACAUGUAACGCAAAAGGAAAGGCCCAAUAAGACAAUGUAAUGCACUUGUUCUCACUGAAAGGGAACUCUGAAGACGUGGUAAAGGAAAUAACCCUGGAAAAGAAAUGGAUAUAUGGAUUACUUUGAAGGAAUUUUUUAUUUGUUUUGCUUUAUUUUCCCCCACUAAGAUAAUCAGAAUUUUAUUUACUUUCUGAAACAAAUAUUUCUUCUCUCCAGUUUUCUUGUAUUGCUUUUUCAUUUCCAAUAUUUGUAACUUCUUUAGAUAAUUAACAAGGACCUAAACAUUUGUCUGUUCCUGCUAUAAAGAUGAGGCUGCCUGAACAGAGAGGCCAUUGAACAAAUGGAGAAAUAUGAGGUGUUAUGAAGUGAUGGCAUCCUAAGUGGUGAAGUUAUUAUAAGAACCAAUAGAAGUACCACAGUAAAGGAGAAUCAAGAUUUGCAUGAGAAGAGAGUUAGUGAUAGAAAUUCAGAAAGAGUUAAUCUGGAUUCAUUUGCCAGUCUUAAUAGGUACAAUUAAUAAUUCAUUUCUAGGUCUUUGGUAUAGUCUACUUGUUCCCAUUUUAUAAUAGAACUUUCUUUAGCAUUUUUCACUUAAUCUAUUGUGGGAAUGUUUUGGGAACACAUUUGAGCAGUGAAGAUUAAAAACCACACCACUACCCUAUAGACAUAUAAACAUGUAUUAGUUAAACUACUACUUUAGAUCAGGAGUCCGGAAAACUAAAGCUUAUAACCAAAUCCAUCCCACAGCCUGUUUUUCUUCUUUAUUGUGGUAAAAUACAUAUAAAAUUUACUAUCUUAACCAUUACUAAUUGUCCAUUGCAGUAGUAUGAAGUUGUUCACAUUGUUAUAUAAUCAUCAUCACAAUCUGUCUCCAGGACUCUUUUCAUUGCAAAAUUGAAAGUUUGGCCUAUGAAACAAAAAUGUCCCAUUUUCCCCUCCACCAGCCCUUAGCAAUCACCAUUCAAUUUUUGUCUCUCUGAAUUUGACUACCCUAGAUACUUUAGAUAAGUUGAAUUAUACAAUAUGUGUCUUCUGUGAGUAGCUUGUUUCACUUAACCUGGUGUACUUAAGGUUCAUUUAUGUUGCAGCAUGUGUCGGAAUUCCUUCCCUUUUUAAGGUUUGAUAAUAUUCUCUUGUUUGUAUGUUCCACAUUAUCCAUUCAUCAAUCAAUGGACACUUGGAUUGCCUUCACAUUUGAAGUAUUACAAAUGAUUCUGCUAUGAAUAUGAAUGUACAAACAUCUAUCUGAGUCCCUACUUUACACUAUUUAGGGUAUAUACCCAGAAAUGAAAUGACUAGAUCAUAUGGUAUCCCAUUUUUAAUUUUUUUGAGGACACGUCAUACUAUUUCACAUCAUAGCUGCACCAUUUUACAUUUCAACCAACAAUGUACAAGUGUUCAACAUUCUCAGCAUCUUCAAAAGCAUUUGUGAUUUUCUGGAAUUAAAAAAAAGAAAAACAGCCAUACUAGUGGAUGAGGUAGAAUUUCAUUGUUGUUUUCAUUUGCAUCACUUUAAUGAUUAGUGAUGUUGAGCAGCUUUUCAUAUGUUUAUUGUCCACUUGUAUAUCAUUCUUGGAGAAAUGUGUAUUUCAGCCCCACAUCUAUUUUUUAAUUUAGUUAUUUAUUUUGUUGUAGCUGUUAUUGCUGAGUUGUAAAAGUUCUCUACAUAUUUGAUGUAUUAACCUCUUUUCAGACGUAUAAUUUGCAAAUAUUUUAUUCUACUUUGUGUAUUGCAUUUUAAUACUGUUGAUUGCACACUUUUUUUCUCUGUAGAAGUUUUACUUUUGAUGGGUCAAUUUACCUACCUUUUUUGUUGUUGUUGUUGCUUGUGCUUUUGGUGUUAUGCCCAAUAAAUCAUUACCAAACCUAAUGUCAUGAAGUUUUCCUCUAUGAUUUUUUUUCUAAGAGUUUUGUUUUGUUUUGUUUUUGCUUUUACAUUUAGGUCUUGAAUCUAUUUUGAGUUAAUUUUUUGUAUAUAAAUAUAAAGUGAAAGUUUUAGUGUCAUUCUUUUCAUAUGGAUACUCAAUUUCCCCAACACAAUUUGUUAAGAAGACUGUCCUUUCCUCAUUAAAUAAUCUUGACACUGUUGUUGCAAAUCAGGUGACCAGAUAAAUGAUAUAAAUGAGGGUUAUUUCUGGGCUCUCUAUUUUAUUCCUUUCUCAUAUGUGUGUGUGUGUGUGUGUGUGUAUGUGUGUAUAUAUAUAUGUGUGUGUGUGUAUGUAUAUAUACACACAUACACAUAUGAAAUAUAUAUUUUAUAUAUUUUUAAAAUUUAAUUAUAUAUAUUUUUUUCUUUUUGAGAUGGAGUCUCGCUCUGUCACCCAGGCUGCAGUGGAACAAUCUUGGCUCACUGCAACCUCCACCUCCCACGUUCAAGCAAUUCUCCUGCCUCUCUCAAUACAGGUGCACAUCACCAACCCUGGCUAAUUUUUCUAUUUUUAUUAGAGACUUGGUUUCACCAUGUUGGCCAGGCUGGUUACGAACCCCUGACCUCAAGUGAUCUGCCCACCUCAUCUUCUCAAAGUGCUGGAAUUACAGGUGUGAGCCACCAUGUCCGGCCUGGUUUAUAUGUUUCUGCCAGGACCAUAAUACUUUAAUUACUGUAGCUUUGAAAUAAAUUUGAAAUCAGGACAUAUGAAGACCACAGCUUUUCUGAUAAUAAUAAAAAGGGAGGGGGCAAAAAUUAUUUGAAGAAAUAUUGAGAAAAUAAUUGCCAUUUUUUA